This 222-nucleotide long non-coding RNA is filed under the name Elaeis guineensis (African oil palm). RNAcentral's name for it is "long non-coding RNA (EGUI_LNC037425)". Lineage: Eukaryota; Viridiplantae; Streptophyta; Magnoliopsida; Arecales; Arecaceae. The record is from RNAcentral.
CCCCACAAAUCAAAGUCUUCCCACCUUUCAUGCAUGCUAACAGUUAAGCAUUCCCUUGUGCUUUCUUUUCAGUAAAAGCUGAGAACUCGUGGAAGAAGGAACAUAAUGGCCCAAGAAGACUGACCAUCCACUCGUUAUGCUUGAACAGUAGAUAAAGAGAAGUGUUCGAGUUAGAUAUGUCCAAUCUUGACUUCUCCGUUUUAGAAUGGGCCAUGCACCAUC